Molecule: non-coding RNA, 1038 nt
Organism: Paramisgurnus dabryanus
Lineage: Eukaryota; Metazoa; Chordata; Actinopteri; Cypriniformes; Cobitidae
Source: RefSeq, a predicted model, not a curated record
CACUUAAUAAAAACUGUGAUAUGAACUCAAAAACUGCAAUUGAUUAACCAUUAUUUAAACUGAAUAAAUACUGAAUAACUGAAUCCCUCACACACACACACCGAAAAAACCCCGCGCUUUUAUUUUGACACGCGCCCAUCCCCCCACAUCUCACGGUCGGAGUCAGUUUCACAGAGCAGCGCAGGAGGACGAGACAGACACAUAAAGAACAUUAACAGUUUAGUUUGAAUCUCUCUCAGUCAGUCAGGGGGAGAUUAACUGACAGACUGUAUAACGUUACACGUCUUACCAAGAAACCAUUAAAAGUUUAGCACAAAUGUGUCUCGUGGAAGUUUGAAUCUCUCUCAGUCAGGGGGGAGAUUGACUGACAGACUGUCUACUUGCCACCAGACAGUAAUUUACCCUGAAACCUUUUUAAGUAAGGACUAACGUAAACUGACUCUCUGUCUGCUCUCAACCAAACAGUCAUUUAAGACCUUCUAAAGCUUAGCGCAAACGUUUCCCGCGCAAGUUUGGAUCUUUACCAUUGAGGGUGGCUGACUGUUCUCGACCAACCAUCAUUCACACGCAAAAACUUUAAAGAUAAGUAUGAACGUGCCCAGAGCAGUUUUCGAUCUUUACCAUUAAGGAGGCUGACUGACUAUCGUCUACCACCCGUCAUUAACACAACAAAAACUAAAGAAAUGUUACUCCAUAUGGACCUAUUCAUUUACUCAUUAUGCUGUGAGUACACCACAGUUUUAUCAGGGAAAAAAUGUAUAUUUGUGUGUUUCUCACUGCUUGGCAAGGACAGAUGUGGCCCUGUUAAAAAUGUUUAAAUGUCGUUUGGUUUAAGGAACAGCACACUGAUUUUGUUUUAAAAUAUUCCUGUUUGGACAGUCUGUUAAAGCCAUAAAGGAAUACUUGAUAUAUUUCAUAAGUAAAGUGUAAAUGUAAUAUUAGUUUUUAAUGUUGUGAAUUUGGACUGAACAGCACACUUCUGUUUUAUAUCUAAACCUUUUGUAAAAUAAAUGAUUGUUCAAUAAACUGUGUAUUUUA